RNAcentral lists this ribosomal RNA (310 nucleotides) under uncultured bacterium. RNAcentral's name for it is "bacterial SSU rRNA". It matches the Rfam family "Bacterial small subunit ribosomal RNA", at positions 27 to 333 of the family's 1533-position model. The record is from RNAcentral.
GAUUGAACGCUGGCGGAAUGCUUUACACAUGCAAGUCGAACGGCAGCACGGGGGCGAACCCUCGGUGGCGAGUGGCGAACGGGUGAGUAAUACAUCGGAACGUGCCCAGUCGUGGGGGAGUAACUAACGCGAAAGCGUAGCUAAUACCGCAUACGAUCUACGGAUGAAAGCGGGGGAGUCGCAAGACCUCGCGCGAUUGGAGCGGCCGAUGGCAGAUUAGGUUGUUGGUGAGGUAAAGGCUCACCAAGCCGACCGAUCUGUAGCUGGUCUGAGAGGACGACCAGCCACACUGGGACUGAGACACGGCCCA